Molecule: transfer RNA, 76 nt
Filed under: Brachystegia angustistipulata
Lineage: Eukaryota; Viridiplantae; Streptophyta; Magnoliopsida; Fabales; Fabaceae
Description: tRNA-Met
Rfam family: tRNA (bases 1-59)
About the family: Transfer RNA (tRNA) molecules are approximately 80 nucleotides in length. Their secondary structure includes four short double-helical elements and three loops (D, anti-codon, and T loops).
Source: RNAcentral
UUUGGUAGCUCGCAAGGCUCAUAACCUUGAGGUCACGGGUUCAAAUCCCGUCUCCGCAAAAUUUUUUGACAAAAAA